GGCACAAGACAUGCUGUUGCAGUUGUGUUAUGUGACAAAUUCCUUGCCACAUUAUUGUUCAUGGCUGAAUUGGGACUGGGAUCCAAGCUGUAAAGCGGUUCCAGAAACAAAAGCUUUCAGGCAUUUGGAAGUUGCACACUGAGAGAUUUGUGAGUUAUACGUGGGACAAGGAUAGCAUCUACCAUCUGCCACAGGAAUGAAUCAUCAACAAGGUUGUUUGUGCUAAAGUAAGUAAGCUACCCAA
RNAcentral lists this long non-coding RNA (244 nucleotides) under Vulpes vulpes (red fox). RNAcentral's name for it is "lncRNA (ENSVVUG00000024052.1)". The record is from RNAcentral. Lineage: Eukaryota; Metazoa; Chordata; Mammalia; Carnivora; Canidae.